UAGCGGCGGACGGGUGAGUAAUGCUUAGGAAUCUGCCUAUUAGUGGGGGACAACAUUCCGAAAGGAAUGCUAAUACCGCAUACGCCCUACGGGGGAAAGCAGGGGAUCUUCGGACCUUGCGCUAAUAGAUGAGCCUAAGUCAGAUUAGCUAGUUGGUGGGGUAAAGGCCUACCAAGGCGACGAUCUGUAGCGGGUCUGAGAGGAUGAUCCGCCACACUGGGACUGAGACACGGCCCAGACUCCUACGGGAGGCAGCAGUGGGGAAUAUUGGACAAUGGGCGCAAGCCUGAUCCAGCCAUGCCGCGUGUGUGAAGAAGGCCUUUUGGUUGUAAAGCACUUUAAGCGAGGAGGAGGCUACUGGGAUUAAUACUCUAGGAUAGUGGACGUUACUCGCAGAAUAAGCACCGGCUAACUCUGUGCCAGCAGCCGCGGUAAUACAGAGGGUGCGAGCGUUAAUCGGAUUUACUGGGCGUAAAGCGUGCGUAGGCGGCUUUUUAAGUCGGAUGUGAAAUCCCUGAGCUUAACUUAGGAAUUGCAUUCGAUACUGGGAAGCUAGAGUAUGGGAGAGGAUGGUAGAAUUCCAGGUGUAGCGGUGAAAUGCGUAGAGAUCUGGAGGAAUACCGAUGGCGAAGGCAGCCAUCUGGCCUAAUACUGACGCUGAGGUACGAAAGCAUGGGGAGCAAACAGGAUUAGAUACCCU
This 700-nucleotide ribosomal RNA is filed under the name Acinetobacter johnsonii. Its description in RNAcentral is "bacterial SSU rRNA". It matches the Rfam family "Bacterial small subunit ribosomal RNA", at positions 93 to 788 of the family's 1533-position model. The record is from RNAcentral. Lineage: Bacteria; Pseudomonadati; Pseudomonadota; Gammaproteobacteria; Moraxellales; Moraxellaceae.